AGGUUUAUCCAAUGUCAAGGGAAUGACAGAGAAUAUCCUGUGACUUCAGAGAACUACAGGAAUGGUGGACAUGGAAAGGAGUGGUUUUUGAAAGC
Non-coding RNA from Cyanistes caeruleus (blue tit), 95 nucleotides. The record is from RefSeq and is a predicted model, not a curated record. Lineage: Eukaryota; Metazoa; Chordata; Aves; Passeriformes; Paridae.